UACAGAGGUGGCAAGCGUUGUUCGGAAUUACUGGGCGUAAAGGGCGCGUAGGCGGUCUUGCAAGUCCUGUGUGAAAUCCCUCGGCUCAACUGAGGAACUGCACAGGAAACUGCUUGGCUUGAGUUCGGGAGAGGGAAGCGGAAUUCCGGGUGUAGCGGUGAAAUGCGUAGAUAUCCGGAGGAACACCAGUGGCGAAGGCGGCUUCCUGGACCGACACUGACGCUGAGGCGCGAAAGCUAGGGGAGCAAACGGG
This 253-nucleotide ribosomal RNA is filed under the name uncultured bacterium. RNAcentral's name for it is "partial 16S ribosomal RNA". It matches the Rfam family "Bacterial small subunit ribosomal RNA", at positions 524 to 776 of the family's 1533-position model. The record is from RNAcentral.